Molecule: ribosomal RNA, 860 nt
Filed under: Leucaltis clathria
Lineage: Eukaryota; Metazoa; Porifera; Calcarea; Clathrinida; Leucaltidae
Description: eukaryotic LSU rRNA
Rfam family: 5.8S ribosomal RNA (bases 337-490)
Source: RNAcentral
GGAAGGAUCAUUACCGAUUCGUGAAAACCUUUUCUUAACACACUGUGAACCCGGUCGUGCACUGCGCGCACGUCUCCUUUCGGGGUUGCUGCUUGUUUGUGGCAUUAAAUCGUUUGUUGGGCGGUCUGCAUUUGAGAAUUGUUUCUCAUGUGUGGUGCGUCUGCCUUGCGAGCCCCGUCUGGAGGCUGCGUGCGUGUACGGUUUUCUCUUCACCGCGCACGGCCUCAGGGUCGCGUGCACCUGUCAAACCUUUUUUUUUUCAACCAAGCAAAUUUGCAGACCGAACUGUUGGGGCUUUCGUACUUGAAAGCUUGUCUUUAUCAUGAAAUCAUGGACAACUUUCAACGGUGGAUCUCUUGGCUCGUGGAUCGAUGAAAAACGCACCAAAACGCGAUAUGUAGUGUGAAUUGCAAAAUUCAGUGAAUCAUCGAAUCUUUGAACGCAAAUGGCGCUCCUGGGUAUUCCCAGGAGCAUGUCUGUCUCAGUGUCGUUUUCACCUCGAACGUGCUUCGGCGCGGUUGUAAUGAGGCGUCUGAAGGCCUGUUUUUGCAUGGUGCUGCUUGGCUAGCGCCUGUGGACAGGCUUUUUCAGUCCCUUGAAAUGCAGUGGCCGAACGUGUUGUGCUGAAGCAUGGCUUCGGGUCGGUUCGCCCCGGAUCUGCUCGCACGGCUGGUCAAAUCUUCGUUGUCUGUCGUCGUGUUGCAGUGGCCUGGGCGCACUUGACAUCAUGCCGUCUGCGCAGCCGUUCGAACAAAGCCAAAAGCCUUGGAAAGAAGAGAAAGCGGUUCCUGCCGGCCCUGUGCGCGCGCGCAAGAGCCGCAAACACCUUCGACCUGAGAUCAGUCAAGACUACCCGCUGA